UACAUAGGGUGCAAGCGUUGUCCGGAAUUAUUGGGCGUAAAGAGCUCGUAGGUGGUUUGAUACGUCGGGUGUGAAAUUCAGGGGCUCAACCCCUGACCUGCAUUCGAUACGGUCAAGCUAGAGUUUGGUAGGGGAGACUGGAAUUCCUGGUGUAGCGGUGGAAUGCGCAGAUAUCAGGAGGAACACCAAUGGCGAAGGCAGGACUCUGGGCCAUUACUGACACUGAGGAGCGAAAGCGUGGGGAGCGAACAGG
This 253-nucleotide ribosomal RNA is filed under the name uncultured bacterium. RNAcentral describes it as "partial 16S ribosomal RNA". It matches the Rfam family "Bacterial small subunit ribosomal RNA", at positions 524 to 776 of the family's 1533-position model. The record is from RNAcentral.